This is a long non-coding RNA of Oncorhynchus tshawytscha (Chinook salmon), 317 nucleotides long. Lineage: Eukaryota; Metazoa; Chordata; Actinopteri; Salmoniformes; Salmonidae. The record is from Ensembl.
UGUGGAGGCUAUAUACAGGGGUACCGGUACAGAGUCAAUGUGGAGGCUAUAUACAGGGGUACCGGUACAUAGCCAAUGUGGAGGCUAUAUACAGGGGGUACCGGUACAGAGUCAAUGUGGAGGCUAUAUACAGGGGGUACCGGUACAGAGUCAAUGUGGAGGCUAUAUACAGGGUAUUACGGUACAGAGUCAAUGUGGAGGCUAUAUACAGGGUGUUACGGUACAGAGUCAAUGUGGAGGCUAUAUACAGGGGUACCGGUACAGAGUCAAUGUGGAGGCUAUAUACAGGGUGUUACGGUACAGAGUCAAUGUGGAGG